RNAcentral lists this ribosomal RNA (373 nucleotides) under uncultured Bacteroidota bacterium. RNAcentral's name for it is "bacterial SSU rRNA". It matches the Rfam family "Bacterial small subunit ribosomal RNA", at positions 521 to 896 of the family's 1533-position model. The record is from RNAcentral. Lineage: Bacteria; Pseudomonadati; Bacteroidota.
UAAUACGGAGGAUGCAAGCGUUAUCCGGAUUUAUUGGGUUUAAAGGGUGCGUAGGCGGAAAAUUAAGUCAGUGGUGAAAUCCUACAGCUUAACUGUAGAACUGCCAUUGAAACUGAUUUUCUUGAGUACAGUUGAGGUGGGCGGAAUGUGUAAUGUAGCGGUGAAAUGCUUAGAUAUUACACAGAACACCGAUUGCGUAGGCAGCUCACUAAACUGUUACUGACGCUCAGGCACGAAAGCGUGGGGAGCGAACAGGAUUAGAUACCCUGGUAGUCCACGCCGUAAACGAUGAUCACUCGUUGUUGGCAAUACACCGUCAGCGACUAAGCUAAAGCAAUAAGUGAUCCACCUGGGGAGUACGGUCGCAAGAUUG